Molecule: ribosomal RNA, 639 nt
Filed under: Brevibacterium linens
Lineage: Bacteria; Bacillati; Actinomycetota; Actinomycetes; Micrococcales; Brevibacteriaceae
Description: bacterial SSU rRNA
Rfam family: Bacterial small subunit ribosomal RNA
Source: RNAcentral
GAACGCAGAAGCCCUGGAGCAUGGCACGGGGUGGAAGAGUGGCGAACGGGUGAGUAACACGUGAGANACCAGCCCCCGACUUCGGGAUAAGCCCGGGAAACUGGGUCUAAUACCGGAUAUGACGACCGAAGCAUCUUUGGUUGUGGAAAGUAUUUUCGGUUGGGGAUGGGCUCGCGGCCUAUCAGUUUGUUGGUGAGGAAAUGGCUCACCAAGACGACGACGGGUAGCCGGCCUGAGAGGGCGACCGGGCCACACUGGGACUGAGACACGGCCCAGACUCCUACGGGAGGCAGCAGUGGGGAAUAUUGCACAAUGGGGGAAACCCUGAUGCAGCGACGCAGCGUGCGGGAUGACGGCCUUCGGGUUGUAAACCGCUUUCAGCAGGGAAGAAGCCUUUCGGGGUGACGGUACCUGCAGAAGAAGUACCGGCUAACUACGUGCCAGCAGCCGCGGUAAUACGUAGGGUACAAGCGUUGUCCGGAAUUAUUGGGCGUAAAGAGCUCGUAGGUGGUUGGUCACGUCUGCUGUGGAAACGCAACGCUUAACGUUGCGCGUGCAGUGGGUACGGGCUGACUAGAGUGCAGUAGGGGAGUCUGGAAUUCCUGGUGUAGCGGUGAAAUGCGCAGAUAUCAGGAGGAA